Perca fluviatilis (European perch) is the source of this 762-nucleotide long non-coding RNA. RefSeq lists it as uncharacterized. The record is from RefSeq and is a predicted model, not a curated record. Lineage: Eukaryota; Metazoa; Chordata; Actinopteri; Perciformes; Percidae. The transcript is spliced from 3 exons.
AGAAUAUUAAAAAAAUAUAUAUCCCGGAAAGAGAAGAUCCCAAACUUUGAAAUUUAAAUCCACGCUCCCACAUGUGCGCUCGGUGAAAAAUAAGCAGAAAUCAUCAUCCCAGGUCCUAUGGGGGUCCAUCGUGCCCGGGUGCUACGGUGGAUUCCCCAGCGAAGCCUACCCAAACGCAGUCAACAUCAAGUCAAGUGAUGACUAGAAGCGACUUUACAUUCCAGUGAUUUCAUGCCUCGCGCUCACACUUCUCAGGGUCAAUCGAUAAAAAGAGAGAGCCUCCAGGACUGAAGCAGGAAUCCUCUCCUCCCUCUCUUCUUCCACUCUUCACUUCUUCUUUGUCAUUAGCCCGGGACUCCUGACCUUUAGCCCAAACUGGGAAAUGUCAGAAGAUGCUUGUAAUGUCACAACAGCUUAUCAGGGCGAGGAUGGGCUGUUGUUAUGGAGACAGCAUCACUACCGCAGGCUUGGUGGGACGUUUCCGGCUCAGCACAAUUCACUUCAUUGAACAAUGAAACCUUAUUUGUUUCCUGCGUGUUAGUGCAGUUGUUCCCAAAGAGGGUACAGCGGUAACAUUUCACUGUGUUAAAAAAACUGGGGCAAAAGUUACAUUAACAACUUUUUACAUUUUCUGUAAAGUAAGCUCAACAAUAUACACAUGAUGUCUGAUCUGUGAGUUUACUUAAUUGCUUUCAUUUGGCCAUAAAAACCUAAAUGGAAAUAAAUACAACCAAUUAGCAUUCUUUCAUGACUUUAAACUGC